UCUGCAUGACCUCAGGAUCCCCAUCACCCCAUGUGUCUCUGUGCCCAUGGAUAGCACUUCCAGAGAGGAGAAGACCCCAUUGUCAGGAGAGAAGCAGAUCGGGCACAGGAGGGGGCUUAGAGGAAGAGCUUUGAGCCCUGAGGGCUAUGAUUCCAUGUGUGGACACUGGCCUUGUCAUUCCUUCUUAUUUUGUAGUUCUUCACAUACAAAUAAGCAGCCUCUGUGGUGGAGGGGGAUAAGGGGUGGUGGUUGAUCCUGGACUUAGAUGCCUUCAUAUCAGGAAUAUGCUAUUUUCUUAAUUUACUCCAUAUUCACUCCAUGAAUUCUCUAGGACAAGAGCCCUUGCUGUUCUACAUUUGCAGACAUGUGGGGACACUGGUUUCUUCCCAUAGCCUCUGUUCCCCAUCCCCAAAGCUCUCAGCGGAACCCAAAGUAUGGGUAGAGUUCUUUUGAUGCUGAUGUUGCCCACUUGGAACCCAGUUGUGGGGAAGCUAGUAGGAGAUGAGCACGACUUCUUUAGGUUUUUGCUUUUUGCCAGUGUUGGUGCUUGGUUCUGUCCUAUGAACACAGCUUUCAUUUCUGUUCCACAGGCCAUUAUGUAUGCAAGAGGGCCUGGUCCUUUCCUAGGUUCGCCUUGCAGGCUGUACCCCAUGGAUGGCCCUUCAUCACCAGCUCUUACCCCUCCUCCACCAGCUCCUCCACAUACUCAAUUUGGAGAAUUUGAAGUUUGAAGAGGACCCUGAACUGUGACAAAUGGGCUGGGUGAUGUAAUAUAUUUAGAAAAGUUGUCUGAUAUGCGUAUUUGACUAAAUUCUUUCCCUGACCAAUCCUGUCCCCUCUAUUUUGUCUUUCCUCAUUUCCCCUGAUAAACCCAUCACAGUUCUG
Molecule: long non-coding RNA, 885 nt
Organism: Neofelis nebulosa (Clouded leopard)
Lineage: Eukaryota; Metazoa; Chordata; Mammalia; Carnivora; Felidae
Exons: 2
Source: RefSeq, a predicted model, not a curated record